ACUAAGCGUACACGGUGGAUGCCCUGGCAGUCAGAGGCGAUGAAGGACGUGCUAAUCUGCGAAAAGCGUCGGUAAGGUGAUAUGAACCGUUAUAACCGGCGAUGUCCGAAUGGGGAAACCCAGUGCAAUUCGUUGCACUAUCGUUAACUGAAUACAUAGGUUAACGAGGCGAACCGGGGGAACUGAAACAUCUAAGUACCCCGAGGAAAAGAAAUCAACCGAGAUUCCCCCAGUAGCGGCGAGCGAACGGGGAGCAGCCCAGAGUCUGAAUCAGCUUGUGUGUUAGUGGAACGGUCUGGAAAGUCCGACGGUACAGGGUGAUAGUCCCGUACACCAAAAUGCACAGGCUGUGAACUCGAAGAGUAGGGCGGGACACGUGGUAUCCUGUCUGAAUAUGGGGGGACCAUCCUCCAAGGCUAAAUACUCCUGACUGACCGAUAGUGAACCAGUACCGUGAGGGAAAGGCGAAAAGAACCCCGGCGAGGGGAGUGAAAAAGAACCUGAAACCGUGUACGUACAAGCAGUGGGAGCACCUUCGGGUGUGACUGCGUACCUUUUGUAUAAUGGGUCAGCGACUUAUAUUCUGUAGCAAGGUUAACCGUAUAGGGGAGCCGCAGGGAAACCGAGUCUUAACUGGGCGUUAAGUUGCAGGGUAUAGACCCGAAACCCGGUGAUCUAGCCAUGGGCAGGUUGAAGGUUGGGUAACACUAACUGGAGGACCGAACCGACUAAUGUUGAAAAAUUAGCGGAUGACUUGUGGCUGGGGGUGAAAGGCCAAUCAAACCGGGAGAUAGCUGGUUCUCCCCGAAAGCUAUUUAGGUAGCGCCUCGUGAACUCAUCUUCGGGGGUAGAGCACUGUUUCGGCUAGGGGGUCAUCCCGACUUACCAACCCGAUGCAAACUACGAAUACCGAAGAAUGUUAUCACGGGAGACACACGGCGGGUGCUAACGUCCGUCGUGAAGAGGGAAACAACCCAGACCGCCAGCUAAGGUCCCAAAGUCAUGGUUAAGUGGGAAACGAUGUGGGAAGGCACAGACAGCCAGGAUGUUGGCUUAGAAGCAGCCAUCAUUUAAAGAAAGCGUAAUAGCUCACUGGUCGAGUCGGCCUGCGCGGAAGAUGUAACGGGGCUAAACCAUGCACCGAAGCUGCGGCAGCGACACUAUGUGUUGUUGGGUAGGGGAGCGUUCUGUAAGCCUGCGAAGGUGACCUGUGAGGGUUGCUGGAGGUAUCAGAAGUGCGAAUGCUGACAUAAGUAACGAUAAAGCGGGUGAAAAGCCCGCUCGCCGGAAGACCAAGGGUUCCUGUCCAACGUUAAUCGGGGCAGGGUGAGUCGACCCCUAAGGCGAGGCCGAAAGGCGUAGUCGAUGGGAAACAGGUUAAUAUUCCUGUACUUGGUGUUACUGCGAAGGGGGGACGGAGAAGGCUAUGUUAGCCGGGCGACGGUUGUCCCGGUUUAAGCAUGUAGGCUGGUUGUCCAGGCAAAUCCGGAUAAUCAAGGCUGAGGUGUGAUGACGAGGCACUACGGUGCUGAAGUAACAAAUGCCCUGCUUCCAGGAAAAGCCUCUAAGCAUCAGGUAACAUCAAAUCGUACCCCAAACCGACACAGGUGGUCAGGUAGAGAAUACCAAGGCGCUUGAGAGAACUCGGGUGAAGGAACUAGGCAAAAUGGUGCCGUAACUUCGGGAGAAGGCACGCUGGUGUGUAGGUGAAGCCCCUGCGGGUGGAGCUGAGACCAGUCGAAGAUACCAGCUGGCUGCAACUGUUUAUUAAAAACACAGCACUGUGCAAACACGAAAGUGGACGUAUACGGUGUGACGCCUGCCCGGUGCCGGAAGGUUAAUUGAUGGGGUUAUCCGUAAGGAGAAGCUCUUGAUCGAAGCCCCGGUAAACGGCGGCCGUAACUAUAACGGUCCUAAGGUAGCGAAAUUCCUUGUCGGGUAAGUUCCGACCUGCACGAAUGGCGUAAUGAUGGCCAGGCUGUCUCCACCCGAGACUCAGUGAAAUUGAACUCGCUGUGAAGAUGCAGUGUACCCGCGGCAAGACGGAAAGACCCCGUGAACCUUUACUAUAGCUUGACACUGAACAUUGAGCCUUGAUGUGUAGGAUAGGUGGGAGGCUUUGAAGCGUGGACGCCAGUCUGCGUGGAGCCAACCUUGAAAUACCACCCUUUAAUGUUUGAUGUUCUAACGUUGGCCCCUGACCGGGGUUGCGGACAGUGUCUGGUGGGUAGUUUGACUGGGGCGGUCUCCUCCCAAAGCGUAACGGAGGAGCACGAAGGUUAGCUAAUCCUGGUCGGACAUCAGGAGGUUAGUGCAAUGGCAUAAGCUAGCUUGACUGCGAGCGUGACGGCGCGAGCAGGUGCGAAAGCAGGUCAUAGUGAUCCGGUGGUUCUGAAUGGAAGGGCCAUCGCUCAACGGAUAAAAGGUACUCCGGGGAUAACAGGCUGAUACCGCCCAAGAGUUCAUAUCGACGGCGGUGUUUGGCACCUCGAUGUCGGCUCAUCACAUCCUGGGGCUGAAGUAGGUCCCAAGGGUAUGGCUGUUCGCCAUUUAAAGUGGUACGCGAGCUGGGUUUAGAACGUCGUGAGACAGUUCGGUCCCUAUCUGCCGUGGGCGCUGGAGAAUUGAGGGGGGCUGCUCCUAGUACGAGAGGACCGGAGUGGACGCAUCACUGGUGUUCGGGUUGUCAUGCCAAUGGCACUGCCCGGUAGCUAAAUGCGGAAGAGAUAAGUGCUGAAAGCAUCUAAGCACGAAACUUGCCCCGAGAUGAGUUCUCCCUGAGACUUUAAGUCUCCUGAAGGAACGUUGAAGACGACGACGUUGAUAGGCCGGGUGUGUAAGCGCAGCGAUGUGUUGAGCUAACCGGUACUAAUGAACCGUGAGGCUUAACC
This 2891-nucleotide ribosomal RNA is filed under the name Klebsiella pneumoniae subsp. pneumoniae LCT-KP214. Its description in RNAcentral is "bacterial LSU rRNA". It matches the Rfam family "Bacterial large subunit ribosomal RNA". The record is from RNAcentral. RNAcentral also lists the same sequence under 1 other name. Lineage: Bacteria; Pseudomonadati; Pseudomonadota; Gammaproteobacteria; Enterobacterales; Enterobacteriaceae.